UAGGGAAUCUUCGGCAAUGGACGAAAAUACUGACCGAGCAACGCCGCGUGAGUGAAGAAGGUUUUCGGAUCGUAAAACUCUGUUGGUAGAGAAGAACGUUGGUGAGAGUGGAAAGCUCAUCAAGUGACGGUAACUACCCAGAAAGGGACGGCUAACUACGUGCCAG
RNAcentral lists this ribosomal RNA (166 nucleotides) under uncultured bacterium. RNAcentral's name for it is "partial 16S ribosomal RNA". It matches the Rfam family "Bacterial small subunit ribosomal RNA", at positions 355 to 511 of the family's 1533-position model. The record is from RNAcentral.